Podarcis lilfordi (Lilford's wall lizard) is the source of this 66-nucleotide non-coding RNA. The record is from the annotation of a GenBank genome assembly. NCBI's taxonomy places the organism in Eukaryota, Metazoa, Chordata, Lepidosauria, Squamata, Lacertidae.
GCAGCUCUGUGGUAGAACAUCUGCCUUGAAUGCAGAAGGUCCCAGGUUCAAUUCCUGGAGAAAGCU